UCUGACUACGUCGGUCCUGCCUGACAGCUAGCCGGCUACCUAGCUAGCUGCCGCACUUGGCUGCAAAUGGAUAGCGAGGGGACUCUCUCUCUCUCCUUUCACCUCCCCGGUCUCUCGCAAAUGCUCGCAUAGAAUCGGAGUUACAGCUGGAUGUGGAAAAAAUAACUGAGUUGUUUGGUGGUGGAGCUACAACAGAGGGCAGCUACCCACCGGUGUGUGACAGAAAGGACAUGCCGCCAACGAGACAUAUGAGGCCGGGCAGCUACCCACCGGUGUGUGACAGAAAGGACAUGCCGCCAAC
This is a long non-coding RNA of Oreochromis aureus, 301 nucleotides long. The record is from Ensembl. Lineage: Eukaryota; Metazoa; Chordata; Actinopteri; Cichliformes; Cichlidae.